Molecule: ribosomal RNA, 250 nt
Filed under: uncultured bacterium
Lineage: Bacteria
Description: partial 16S ribosomal RNA
Rfam family: Bacterial small subunit ribosomal RNA
Source: RNAcentral
UCGAGAAUUUUCCGCAAUGGGCGAAAGCCUGACGGAGCGACGCCGCGUGGAGGAUGAAGUUCUUCGGAACGUAAACUCCUUUUGCCAGGGAAGAAGUUAUUGACGGUACCUGGAGAAUAAGAAGUUGCUAAACUCGUGCCAGCAGCAGCGGUAAUACGAGUGCUUCAAGCGUUAUCCGGAAUCAUUGGGCGUAAAGGGUGUGUAGGCGGUUUUGUUAGUCUCCUGUAAAAUCUCUCGGCUUAACCGAGAG